Long non-coding RNA from Marmota flaviventris (yellow-bellied marmot), 282 nucleotides. RefSeq lists it as uncharacterized. The record is from RefSeq and is a predicted model, not a curated record. NCBI's taxonomy places the organism in Eukaryota, Metazoa, Chordata, Mammalia, Rodentia, Sciuridae.
GCCUCUGAGGACAGCAAUGGCCCCAUCUCCAGUUGGUUUCCAUCUACCCUCUCAAGGAGGUUGUUGAUUGAGAGCUGCUGGGCAAGAGUGGAUAUCAGUUCUCCAGUACUUUCCACGAGUUUAUGUGUCAAGUAUCUGGAAACAGAGAGUUUUUAGGCAGUGAAGCACUAUGAGACUUCCUACAAGAAUGGGGAGUUCUAAGGUCUGACUCUGGAACAUCACAUCCACUUCUGGGUCUCAGCAUCCUCUGGGAAGGGGAACUGGGAGAAGUUUUCAGCGGAC